This is a non-coding RNA of Triticum urartu, 127 nucleotides long. The record is from Rfam. Lineage: Eukaryota; Viridiplantae; Streptophyta; Magnoliopsida; Poales; Poaceae.
UAAGUACUCCCUCCGUCCGAAAAUACUUGUCGAAGAAAUGGGUAAAAAUGGAUGUAUAUCUAGAACUAAAAUACGUCUAGAUACAUCCAUUUCUCCGACAAGUAUUUCCGGAUGGAGGGAGUAGUAG